RNAcentral lists this transfer RNA (72 nucleotides) under Sphaerodactylus townsendi. Its description in RNAcentral is "tRNA-Ala". It matches the Rfam family "tRNA". From Rfam's summary of the family: Transfer RNA (tRNA) molecules are approximately 80 nucleotides in length. Their secondary structure includes four short double-helical elements and three loops (D, anti-codon, and T loops). Lineage: Eukaryota; Metazoa; Chordata; Lepidosauria; Squamata; Sphaerodactylidae. The record is from RNAcentral.
GGGGCUGUGGCUCAGUGGUAGAGCAUCUGCUUGGCAUGUAGAAGGUGCCAGGUUCAAGCCCCAGUAUCUCCA